UUCCCUUCGGGGACAUUGGUGACAGGUGGUGCAUGGUUGUCGUCAGCUCGUGUCGUGAGAUGUUGGGUUAAGUCCCGCAACGAGCGCAACCCUUGUCUUUAGUUGCCAUCAUUAAGUUGGGCACUCUAGAGAGACUGCCAGGGAUAACCUGGAGGAAGGUGGGGAUGACGUCAAAUCAUCAUGCCCCUUAUGCUUAGGGCUACACACGUGCUACAAUGGGUAGUACAGAGGGUUGCCAAGCCGUAAGGUGGAGCUAAUCCCUUAAAGCUACUCUCAGUUCGGAUUGUAGGCUGAAACUCGCCUACAUGAAGCUGGAGUUACUAGUAAUCGCAGAUCAGAAUGCUGCGGUGAAUGCGUUCCCAGGUCUUGUACACACCGCCCGUCACACCACGGGAGUUGGAGACGCCCGAAGCCGAUUAUCUAACCUUUUGGAAGAAGUCGUCGAAGGUGGAAUCAAUAACUGGGGUGAAGUCGUAACAAGGUAGCCGUAUCGGAAGGUGCGGCUGGAUCACCUCCUUUCUAAGGA
Molecule: ribosomal RNA, 526 nt
Filed under: Clostridioides difficile
Lineage: Bacteria; Bacillati; Bacillota; Clostridia; Peptostreptococcales; Peptostreptococcaceae
Description: bacterial SSU rRNA
Rfam family: Bacterial small subunit ribosomal RNA
Source: RNAcentral